AUCGCUUCUCAGCCUUUUGGCUAAGAUCAAGUAUAGUAUCCGUUCUUAUCAGUUUAAUAUCUAAUACGUCCUCUAACCCAGGACAAUAUGUUAAAUGGAUAUUUGGGAGCAGGGAGAUGGAAUAGGAACCUGCUCCGUCCACUCCACGCACUAACCUGGCAUUGCAGGAAAUGUUAAAGUGCAACAAAU
Molecule: small nuclear RNA, 189 nt
Organism: Microcebus murinus (gray mouse lemur)
Lineage: Eukaryota; Metazoa; Chordata; Mammalia; Primates; Cheirogaleidae
Gene: U2
Rfam family: U2 spliceosomal RNA
About the family: U2 is a small nuclear RNA (snRNA) component of the spliceosome (involved in pre-mRNA splicing). Complementary binding between U2 snRNA (in an area lying towards the 5' end but 3' to hairpin I) and the branchpoint sequence (BPS) of the intron results the bulging out of an unpaired adenosine, on the BPS, which initiates a nucleophilic attack at the intronic 5' splice site, thus starting the first of two transesterification reactions that mediate splicing.
Source: Ensembl